RNAcentral lists this ribosomal RNA (253 nucleotides) under uncultured bacterium. RNAcentral describes it as "partial 16S ribosomal RNA". It matches the Rfam family "Bacterial small subunit ribosomal RNA", at positions 524 to 776 of the family's 1533-position model. The record is from RNAcentral.
UACGAAGGGGGCUAGCGUUGUUCGGAAUUACUGGGCGUAAAGCGCACGUAGGCGGUUCUGUAAGUAGGGGGUGAAAUCCCCGGGCUCAACCCGGGAACUGCCUUCUAGACUGCAGACCUUGAGAUCAGGAGAGGCGAGCGGAAUUCCGAGUGUAGAGGUGAAAUUCGUAGAUAUUCGGAGGAACACCAGUGGCGAAGGCGGCUCGCUGGACUGAUACUGACGCUGAGGUGCGAAAGCGUGGGGAGCAAACAGG